RNAcentral lists this ribosomal RNA (62 nucleotides) under Gaertneriomyces semiglobifer. Its description in RNAcentral is "partial 28S ribosomal RNA". It matches the Rfam family "Eukaryotic large subunit ribosomal RNA", at positions 1 to 58 of the family's 3401-position model. The record is from RNAcentral. Lineage: Eukaryota; Fungi; Chytridiomycota; Chytridiomycetes; Spizellomycetales; Spizellomycetaceae. RNAcentral also lists the same sequence under 1 other name.
AACUUGGUCUGAAAUCGGGCAAGAAAACCCGCUGAACUUAAGCAUAUCAAUAAGCGGAGGAA